GACGAACGCUGGCGGCGUGCCUAAUACAUGCAAGUAGAACGCAGUUGCGCACGGGUGAGUAACGCGUAGGUAACUGCCUCAUAGCGGGGGAUAACUUUUUGAAACGAUAGACAAUACCGCCUACUGUGACAUGGAUCUGCGUUGCAUUAGCUUGUUGGUGAGGUAAAGGGUCACCAAGGCGACGAUACAUAGCCGAACUGAGAGGGUGGACGGCCAAACUGGGACUGAGGCACGGCCCAGAAUCCUACGGGAGGCAGCAGUAGGGGAUCAUCGGAAAUUGAGGGAAGUCUGGCCGAGCAACGGCGCGUGAGUGAAGAAGGUUUUCGGAGCGUAAAGCUCUGUUGUUAGAGAAGCGGUAACUGAAGAGAAAGGGACGGCUAACUACGUGCCAGCAGCCGCGGUAAUAC
Molecule: ribosomal RNA, 407 nt
Filed under: uncultured bacterium
Lineage: Bacteria
Description: partial 16S ribosomal RNA
Rfam family: Bacterial small subunit ribosomal RNA
Source: RNAcentral